ACACAACAUCUUUAUUUGUAUGUGGUGCUGAGGAUGGAAACCACGGCCCCCGAGCAUGCCAGGAAAUAGCUAUGACACAACAAGGCACUGGAAUUUGGAGGCAAAGACAACAUAGGUUGGAGAUCCAUCUCUGUCACUGUGCAUCCUCAGGCAAGUCACUCAGCCUCUCUGAGCCUGAGUUUCCUUAUCUGUAAAUUAUAGUUAUGAAGUUAAUUGCUAAGUCUCAGAGUCUUCAUAUGUUAAUGACUGUGUAACAUGUAUAUAAGCAAAAUGUGCCUGAAAAUCCUUUGUAGUAGGGUGCAGUGAAAUUGUGAGGUGGCCCCAUUUUUUCCAUGCUUAGUAGUUUCUUGUCCUUUUCUACCCCAGCCUCUGCUGCCACUGCUCCUCAGUUGAAGCCCCCUCUCAUCCAUGACAGUGACUAGUUGCCAUCUCCCUUAAAAUAAGGCCUUCAUGAGCCAAAUCCUCAAAUCCCAACAAGACUCUUUAAAGAAGUAAGGGAGUCAAACUGAAAAUCAAUAACAGAAUAUCAGGAAUAUCUUCAAAUAUUUGAAAAUCAAAUAGAACCUUUGUUAAUAAAAUAAGCAGCAACAUUGAAACCUACAAGUCAAGCACAAAAUCUCAAGUACUGCUGAUAGGAUUGAGUGGGAAAUGCAUGACAAUAAAUGCUUAUUUCAGAUACUAGGCAACAAAUCCAAAACCUAAGUUCCUACUUCAGGAAAUUAGAAAAAGCUGGGCACAGGGUGCACGCCUGUAAUCCCAGCAACUCGAGAGGCUGAGGCAGGAGGAUCACCAGUGUGAGGCCAGCCUCAGCAACUUAGUAAGAUCCUGUCUCAAAAUAAAAAAUCAAGAAGGGCUGUGGAUGACGGUCAAUGGUGGAGCAUCCCUGGAUUCAUUCCCCAGUACCAUAAAAUAAAUACAUACAUACAUAAAAGCAAUUAGAAAAUGAAGAACACAAUAAAUCCAAAGUAAGCAGAAAAUAGAAAAUAAUACAAUUAAAAGCAAAAAUCAACGAAACUGGAAACAAUAAUGUAGACAAUCAAUGAAACAAAAAAAAAACCCAGCUUCUUCAAAAGUAUUAAAAGAAUUGAAUAAAUAAACUUUAUAAAUCACCAAUAUCACUUUUUGGUGUGGUAGUAGAUAUAAGAACCUACACAUGUGACAAAAUUGCAUAGAAAUGUUGGGCACAGUGGUGCAUGCCUGUAAUCCCAGCAACCCUGAAGGCUGAGGCAGGAGGACAACAAGUUUGAGUCCAGCCUCAGCAAUUUAGGGAAAAGCUAUCUCAGAAUAAAAUAAUAAAAAAGGAUAGGGAUGUAGCUCAGUGGUAGAGCACCCCUGGGUUCAAUCCCUAGUACCACAAAAACAAAACAAAAGCUAAAGAAAAAAUACAUAGAACUAAAUAUAUAGAAAUGAGUACAAGUCAAAUGGAGAGAUCUGAGCACAAUCUGUCUGUCUCAAUGAUAAUAUCCUGAUUGUGGUAUUGUACUAUAGUUUUUUUUUGUACUGGUAUUGAUGGAAACUGGUAAAUGAUAUACAGGAUUUCUACUAUUUCUUAUAACUGCACAUAAAUCUAAUACCUCAAAAUUAAAAGUUUAGUUAUUAAUUUUAUGUGUGUGUAUGUGUGUGUGGUACUGGGGAUUGAACCAGGGCCUUGUGCAUGAAAGACAAGCACUCUACCAACUGAACUAUACCCCAUCCCUUAGUUACUAUUUUUGAAAGUAUCAACUUGUGCCAGACUUAGUUGAGCAGUUAGCUGGAGGCUACUCAUGUCGCUUCCGACACCUGGCUGAUCAACUGGUGCUGAAUGCUCUAAGAUAACCUGGAGUGUCUGACAGUUGGGGCUGGCUGUUGACUGGGGUAUUACCUGGAGGUAGUCAACCGUCAGCCCCAAUCGCUAGACAUCCCAAGAUCGUCUUAGAGCAUUCAGACCCCAGUCCCGCUGCACAAAGCAUUUUUCAACUCUCUGCUUGCAUCACAUUGCUGAUGUACCAUUGGCCAAAGCAAGUCACAUGAUAAUGAUCAGGGUCAUUGUGGGAAAGGACUACAUAAGGGCAAGAACAUAAAGGGGCAUGAUUUAUUGGGUGCCAUUUUUGAAAUGACCUUCCACCAGGGUGAAAAGGAUUUUUCAACUGUAUUUCUUCCUGGACAGCUAUCAUUUGCAUAUGCCCAAAUAUCUUUGAAUACCUCUCUAUAUUUAGAGAUCGCCUAGCCUUGAGAAUACACCUUUCCCAGCUGCUCUUUCUAUUGUGCUACAGGCAUGUGACUUGGGUUCCACCAGCCAGACAUAAGUAUGAGACUCAAAAUGACUUCUGAAGAAACAAGCAGAGCAUGGAACAUCCAUUUUGUUGAGAGUGGAGGAAAUGGAGACAGCAGAUUUCUGAGGUUAAAAGGGGUGGCAAGGGGCUGGGGUUGUGGCUCAGUGGUAGAGCGCUCACCUAGCAUGUGCAAGGCUCUGGGUUCGAUCCUCAGCACCACAUAAAAAUAAAUAAGUAAAAUAAAGGUACUGUGUCCAACUACAACUAAAAAAUUAGAAAAUUUAAAAAAAAAUGGUGGCAAUAUCUUCUUGACUGAGGCAGCUGCAGUUGACUCUGAGCUUGCUGAGAGUAAGGGGAGAGAUUUGCUGACCAUGGUUGAGAAGCCUGGCACAGGAGUGGGACAGCCAUAGCUCCCUAGUUCUCUCUAGUUCUAUGGUAUGAGGAGAGGGAUUGUUGCUAGAACCCCCGUUUAUAGCUUAUUCCCCCAGGCUUUGCUUGAUUUUGAUUCAUUUGUAGCAAAUCCCAUUCUGCUUAAACUAGCUGGAGGGGGUUCUGUUUUCUGUACCUUGUAAUCAAGCUAAUGGAUAAAAUUCCUUUUUGAAUUAUCAACCAUAUGGCCAUCUUGCUUAUUCAAAAAUAAACAAAAAUGCAAUUUUAAAAUAAAAAGUGUAAAAUUAUGUGAACACAUGCUUUUUCAUAGGCUCCCCAGUCCCCAAGCAUUUCCUCUCUCUCCUGACUUGAACCUGACCUCUUGCCCCAAGGCACAAUCUUGAGUCCUGGUUGAUCCAUAUGGAAUCAUCAUUGUCAUUGGUCCAAAUAGCCACAUUCCUGCAAUUUCAUAGAGUUCAACUUCACACAUGCUAUUCUUUUUGAACUGAUCCUCUCGAAAAACUUCAAUUAUCAUCUCUCUGCCAAUUUUUCUGGUCUUGAACAAGCUUCUGUAUGAUGGCUCUAACUUCCAAUGAGACAUUCUACUCAGAUGUGUCCAUGCCACCUUAAAUAAAAUGCAUAUAAAAAACCAAGUGUAUCCGCUUUCCCACAGGCUGAUAUUCUCAUCAGAUGUCUCUAAUUCAUCACAGACAUUAAUAUUUCCUCUGUCACUCAGGCUGGACCAAGUGUAGAUUCAUUAUGACUGCCUUCUAAAUAUCUCACCAUCAGUAGCACAGAGUGGUGGUUUAGAGCAGAGACACGGGAGCCAGACUGCCUGGGUGUGAAUUUUGGCUCUGCCAUUUAUUGAUGUGUGUCCUCGGGCAUGUUACGUCCUCUUAUUGUGCCUCAGUUUACUCAUCUGUAAAAUAGGAAUGUCAGUAGUACCUAAUCUAGGAGGUGCAGAUCAGUUCAGAUUUGUUUGUCACCUGGCAUGUAAUGGUGUGAUUUUUCACAUCUUAAGAAGAUAAACCUCUUGUGUUUGUCUUUUCUUUCCCUUCCAACUGUCAUCACCUGCUUCCGGUUUUCAUCUCCCUAAUUUUCUCCCUGCCUCCAGCUCUUCCUAUUCCAGCUUCUCCUUCACACCGUUGCUACUACAUUGACCUUCCCAGAUCACUGAGGGGACCCCAUCCAGUGUCCCACAGAAACCUCCAAAGCUCCUUAAUGCCAACAGCAACAAGGCACAACCCAGAUAUACAUGGCUGUAACCCAGGUGAUCUGUCCUUUCCACAUUUCUGGGACCCGACCUUCCAGAACAUUCCAUUCUUUAAUCCCCAGGGCUUUCACUAGUAUUCAUUUGCAUUUUUAGUAGCAGGAUCACUAGCUAUUCACAUGUGUACGCUUUCCUUCCCUGAAUAGAUAGAAAGUUCCUGAAGAUCGGAGAGCUUCCCCUACAAGGCCAGGCAUGGACCAGUGCUGGGUAAAUAUUGAUCUUGACUUGAAUUUGCUCUUUAAUCAUGUCUCCUGUGUAGCCUCCUGGUAGAGCCAGUUUGACAACUUCUUUCUUUCUAAAAUCAUGCAAUUUUAAAACCAAGAACAAGCGCCAGAGUAGGAGGUAGGUUUGUACCCUCUGAGAGAGAUUUCUGCAGAAGGAAGAGUCCAACUGUAGGCGUGAGAGGCAACAACAACAUCAUUAACAAGCAGUGUGUCCAGCGAGGCUCAUAUAAUGCCUCUGGACCUCAUUUCUGCAUCUGCAAAAUGAGAACACCAACCCAGCUCCAAAUCCCCAUCAAGCUCAAACACUCUGUGACAAAUCUCCAAGAGGGUGGAUUCAGGAGACUGAUUUUCAAAUUGAUUGAGCAGCAUAGAGUUACUGCAUGAAGAAUUAAACUGCUGUUCCUAACAAUUCAUUUCCUGAGUUCAGCCUAUCAACCAACGUUUAUUAAGCACCAUUUACUUUGCGAUAGCCUGGGCUGAGUGCUAUGGAGACAUAGAAGUGGUAUCAUACAGAAUCCAUCCCCUGGAGGAGUUUGUUAUGUAAUCAGAGUUUAUUAUAUAAUAAAACCUUACCAAGCUCAUGA
Non-coding RNA from Ictidomys tridecemlineatus (thirteen-lined ground squirrel), 4699 nucleotides. Lineage: Eukaryota; Metazoa; Chordata; Mammalia; Rodentia; Sciuridae. The record is from RefSeq and is a predicted model, not a curated record.